This 651-nucleotide ribosomal RNA is filed under the name uncultured fungus. RNAcentral describes it as "eukaryotic LSU rRNA". It matches the Rfam family "Eukaryotic large subunit ribosomal RNA", at positions 24 to 664 of the family's 3401-position model. The record is from RNAcentral. Lineage: Eukaryota; Fungi.
CCCGCUGAACUUAAGCAUAUCAAUAAGCGGAGGAAAAGAAACUAACAAGGAUUCCCCUAGUAACGGCGAGUGAAGAGGGAAAAGCUCAAAUUUGAAAUCUGGUGUCCUCUGGGCAUCCGAGUUGUAUCCUAGAGAGGUGUUUUCCGCGUCGGACCGUGCAUAAGUCCCUUGGAACAGGGCGUCAUAGAGGGUGAGAAUCCCGUCCAUGGCACGGACUACCGGUGCUCUGUGAUGCGCCUUCGAAGAGUCGAGUUGUUUGGGAAUGCAGCUCAAAAUGGGUGGUAAAUUCCAUCUAAAGCUAAAUAUUGGCGAGAGACCGAUAGCGAACAAGUACCGUGAGGGAAAGAUGAAAAGCACUUUGGAAAGAGAGUUAAACAGUACGUGAAAUUGUUGAAAGGGAAACGCUUGGAGUCAGUCGCGUCGGCCGGGACUCAGCCUUGCUUCUGCUUGGUGCAUUUCUCGGUCGAUGGGUCAGCAUCAAUUUCUUUUGCCGGAUAAAGGCUUGGGGAAGGUGGCACCCUCGGGUGUGUUAUAGCCCCUUGUCGCAUACGGUGGAGGGGAUUGAGGACCGCAGCACGAAUCGGGGUUCGCCCACGUCGCGUGCUUAGGAUGCUGGCGUAAUGGCUUUAAGCGACCCGUCUUGAAACACGG